RNAcentral lists this ribosomal RNA (639 nucleotides) under uncultured Bacilli bacterium. Its description in RNAcentral is "bacterial SSU rRNA". It matches the Rfam family "Bacterial small subunit ribosomal RNA", at positions 82 to 709 of the family's 1533-position model. Lineage: Bacteria; Bacillati; Bacillota; Bacilli. The record is from RNAcentral.
CUUCUCCGGAUGAGUUGCGAACGGGUGAGUAACGCGUAGGUAACCUGCCUGGUAGCGGGGGAUAACUAUUGGAAACGAUAGCUAAUACCGCAUAAGAGUAGAUGUUGCAUGACAUUUGCUUAAAAGGUGCAAUUGCAUCACUACCAGAUGGACCUGCGUUGUAUUAGCUAGUUGGUGGGGUAACGGCUCACCAAGGCGACGAUACAUAGCCGACCUGAGAGGGUGAUCGGCCACACUGGGACUGAGACACGGCCCAGACUCCUACGGGAGGCAGCAGUAGGGAAUCUUCGGCAAUGGACGGAAGUCUGACCGAGCAACGCCGCGUGAGUGAAGAAGGUUUUCGGAUCGUAAAGCUCUGUUGUAAGAGAAGAACGAGUGUGAGAGUGGAAAGUUCACACUGUGACGGUAUCUUACCAGAAAGGGACGGCUAACUACGUGCCAGCAGCCGCGGUAAUACGUAGGUCCCGAGCGUUGUCCGGAUUUAUUGGGCGUAAAGCGAGCGCAGGCGGUUAGAUAAGUCUGAAGUUAAAGGCUGUGGCUUAACCAUAGUACGCUUUGGAAACUGUUUAACUUGAGUGCAAGAGGGGAGAGUGGAAUUCCAUGUGUAGCGGUGAAAUGCGUAGAUAUAUGGAGGAACAC